This 497-nucleotide ribosomal RNA is filed under the name uncultured bacterium. RNAcentral's name for it is "partial 16S ribosomal RNA". It matches the Rfam family "Bacterial small subunit ribosomal RNA", at positions 28 to 507 of the family's 1533-position model. The record is from RNAcentral.
GAUGAACGCUGGCGGCGUGCCUAAUACAUGCAAGUCGAGCGAACAGACGAGGAGCUUGCUCCUCUGACGUUAGCGGCGGACGGGUGAGUAACACGUGGAUAACCUACCUAUAAGACUGGGAUAACUUCGGGAAACCGGAGCUAAUACCGGAUAAUAUAUUGAACCGCAUGGUUCAGUAGUGAAAGACGGUUUUGCUGUCACUUAUAGAUGGAUCCGCGCCGCAUUAGCUAGUUGGUAAGGUAACGGCUUACCAAGGCAACGAUGCGUAGCCGACCUGAGAGGGUGAUAGGCCACACUGGAACUGAGACACGGUCCAGACUCCUACGGGAGGCAGCAGUAGGGAAUCUUCCGCAAUGGGCGAAAGCUUGACGGAGCAACGCCGCGUGAGUGAUGAAGGUCUUCGGAUCGUAAAACUCUGUUAUUAGGGAAGAACAAAUGUGUAAGUAACUAUGCACGUCUUGACGGUACCUAAUCAGAAAGCCACGGCUAACUACGUG